GACCUCAAAUCAGGUAGGACUACCCGCUGAACUUAAGCAU
RNAcentral lists this ribosomal RNA (40 nucleotides) under Agaricus xanthodermus. RNAcentral describes it as "partial 28S ribosomal RNA". The record is from RNAcentral. Lineage: Eukaryota; Fungi; Basidiomycota; Agaricomycetes; Agaricales; Agaricaceae.